This 468-nucleotide ribosomal RNA is filed under the name uncultured bacterium. RNAcentral describes it as "partial 16S ribosomal RNA". It matches the Rfam family "Bacterial small subunit ribosomal RNA", at positions 28 to 507 of the family's 1533-position model. The record is from RNAcentral.
GACGAACGCUGGCGGCGUGCUUAACACAUGCAAGUCGAACGGAAAGGCCCUGCUUUUGUGGGGUGCUCGAGUGGCGAACGGGUGAGUAACACGUGAGUAACCUGCCCUUGACUUUGGGAUAACUUCAGGAGACUGGGGCUAAUACCGGAUAGGAGCUCCUGCUGCAUGGUGGGGGUUGGAAAGUUUCGGCGGUUGGGGAUGGACUCGCGGCUUAUCGGCUUGUUGGUGGGGUAGUGGCUUACCAAGGCUUUGACGGGUAGCCGGCCUGAGAGGGUGACCGGCCACAUUGGGACUGAGAUACGGCCCAGACUCCUACGGGAGGCAGCAGUGGGGAAUAUUGCACAAUGGGCGGAAGCCUGAUGCAGCAACGCCGCGUGCGGGAUGACGGCCUUCGGGUUGUAAACCGCUUUCGCCUGUGACGAAGCGUGAGUGACGGUAAUGGGUAAAGAAGCACCGGCUAACUACGUG